Molecule: long non-coding RNA, 1004 nt
Organism: Lathyrus oleraceus (garden pea)
Lineage: Eukaryota; Viridiplantae; Streptophyta; Magnoliopsida; Fabales; Fabaceae
Exons: 4
Source: RefSeq, a predicted model, not a curated record
GUUUUUUUAUCUAAAUAUUCCUAAUCAAACAAACUAAACCUACUGAGCUAUACGUUCUCCAUCCAGAAGAUGAUGUGCCUCUUGGAAUGCUUCACCAUGUUUCAGCUUUGCGCCGCGCCUUCGAAAUCGGAGCAGAGACGAGAUGAAGAAACAAGCUCCGACAUUCAAUCCAUUUCAACAUCCAGAUCAGUUUAUCGAUGUGUGCACGCGCUGUAGAGGGGAAACGGAACCGAAACAUAGUGCGAAUGGAAUUGGAAUGAGAAAACAUACUGAAUCGAAGUGCUGACGUGUUAGCUACAGGAUGAGUCGAUAAUGAGGAAGGGAGAGUGCAGUUUUUAUGCAGGGAGUUGUUUCACGAACACGGCACGGGGAAUUGAUGAAUGAUGAAGUUCUGCAGGUUUUUCCCCCUUUCGGCAUCCACGCACGAGCUUGAACCGAGAAGAAGAUGAAGAAUAAUAGUCCCGGAAUUAAUGAAUUAAAGCUUUGACACGAAUAGAGUGAAGAUGGUGAUUCUGGUGAGUUGUUGUGAGGAUGUGAGAAGGAUGCAGAAUCGUUAUUCAAGGUUGAAACAGAAUGAAGGAUGAAGAGGAAGAGUGAAAAGAGAUGAAGAAUGGUGGUUGCAGAAUGAUGAAGAAGCCCUAUUUGUGAUGGAAUUUAGAGGUUAGGAGCUGAUCCGGUUUUGUUGAAUCCUUCAGUAUGCUUUAUGCUGCAAUUGGAGGGCCAUACUUGCUGUUGGAGCUUGGACAUAGUAUGUUAUGUGGAUUGACUCACUUGUUUAGGAUUAGAUCAAUAGGUAUUAUGGAUUUAUUUUGGUAUUGUAAUGACAUGUUUAUGGAAUGGAGUUAGUAUGGGAUGUGAAUCAUGGAACUGAGUUAGGGAAUUAUUAUUGUAUAGAAUUGAGAUUGAAGUUGUGCAUUGAAUCUUGUAUUUAAUGCUUGAAUGUUAUGGAAAUUUUGAAGUUUCAUGAAAUGAUUGAAAUAGAAUUGAUAUUAUAUUUGCAUUGA